GUCUUAGCUUCAUCCUUCUCUACACCCAUCCCUUUUCUUUUCCAGACCCCCUUUCAAGUAACCCAGUUCACCCAUGACUGCUGAACGGCUACAGGUGGUGUCCCGAACAAGGGGACUGAAAACAGGGGAGGGGGUGGGGACCCACUGAGAAAUGCUGUCUUGGGUGGAGAUCCACAGAAAACAGAAGAAAAGCAACAGUUUACUGCACGGAUGCUGCAGGAGUGUGCUAGCUGCCAGAGUGAUUGGUGUGACAUGCUGAUGCUGAGACAAAGAAUGAUGCUGACCUGUGAGUUUGCUGAGUGCCCUGACAAUGGUUACAGGAUAGCUGUUUUGGACAUAUGUUCUUGACUCACCUUUGCUUGCCUAUAUCCCAGAUUGGACAAGUUGCCUUGCUUCAAGCUUUUAGACCUUGAGGGACAGAGAACAUGGAGACUAUGGAAACUGACUUAGAAAAAUUAAUCAAAAGGAGAAGUUAUAAUGACUCUUCUCUUUCCUUUAAUGUGACCAGUUAUUCUGACUCAGUCAUGGACUGGUCUAGAAAUCAAUCCAAUAUUGGAAAAAAAGGAGAUGACCGUCUUCAUUUGGAAGGCUGGUUCUGGACAUUUUCAGAGACAUAUUGGGAAGUUAGUUGCAGUUCUUUAUGAAGUUACAUUUUCAGCAUAUUAAAUUGGACAGGAUCUGAAUUUCAAACAAGUAUUAGUGCAUGUGUUUAAGAUCCUAAUCUUUUAUUCCUUCAACAAGGACGACUAUGCACAGCCCUCCAUGAGAAAUGUUAUCUUCACAUCGAUCAUUCAGGAAUAGUAAAGGAUUCUAUGGCUAAAGUUAGAGAAGAACUAGUCAAAAGGAAGAGAAAAAGGACAGAAUCAGGGAUGGUUUGAACCCUGAUUCUCCAUUCCCCAUGACUUAAAACUUUAAUUUCUACACUGCUUGGACUAUUAUUAUAAUUUUGUUGCUUUUAACUUUUGGACCAUGUAUCUUAAGCAGAUUGGUUGCCUUCACACAGGAUCACUUUCAGCAAGCUCAGCUAUUCACCAUGGCAGUUAUCCAUUGCUAUGAACUAAUGCAUUGAGUGCACAUUCAUAUGGGAAAGAGUGUUCUAUAGAAGGCCAGUAGUCAGAGAUGGGUAAGAGUGUUUUUGCGCUCCUAUCGACCUAAGACAGAGACAUACAUCAAUGCUAUGUUUGUCCUCCAUGACAGGUAAAAGGAGCAAUAUAGACACUGGACCUAAGACAGGCACGGUUGCCUUGCCGCUCUAUACCCUAGAUGCGAUUAUGGAAAACAAGUAAAUCUUGUGCCCCCUGUCCAGCUACUGAUAAUUGCUCAUCAUUUUUUAAAAAGGGGGGGAGAUUGUGUGCUUCCCUCAGCCUUGAGCAGGCUAAACAGAUCUUGAGUGCUUGCCACAACUGUUUUAUGACCUAGGUGGAGUGUCAGGCCUUGUGAUUUUGCAAUUUCCUACAGGAGCUUUGAGGAAUAGACCACCUGCUGAGCCUGUUUGCAACAUAAGACAGCUGAAACAAAAGAUGGGUCUGUGGGAGCUCUCUAUAUAAACACAGUGCUGAGUAUUAAACUUUGAGCCUUGAUCAGAA
Molecule: long non-coding RNA, 1586 nt
Organism: Mus musculus (house mouse)
Lineage: Eukaryota; Metazoa; Chordata; Mammalia; Rodentia; Muridae
Product: predicted gene, 46851
Exons: 2
Source: RefSeq, marked validated